This 771-nucleotide long non-coding RNA is filed under the name Homo sapiens (human). Its description in RNAcentral is "HSALNT0028887". The record is from RNAcentral. Lineage: Eukaryota; Metazoa; Chordata; Mammalia; Primates; Hominidae.
CAGAGGCCAGGGCUCAGGUUUGGGGACCGCUCCGCCGCGGGGCACGUGGGGCCUAAGUAUCCCCGCCCACCCCGGGAGCCCAGACUCCGGAGCGCCGGGCCUGAGCUUUCCGCAGAGGGGCUCGGCAGCGGAGCCCUGUCCUGCUCCCAGGAGGCGGGUGGCGGUGGCCCGGUGGGCACUACACACGUGGAACUGGAAGAGUUCCUGAGACCCUGCUUCGAAGAGAUUUCCCGUGCACAUUCUACCCGUUUGAGAUGUGUUUGAGUUCACAAACUGUCCCUUAAAGAUGCGAAUGCUCCUUUGAAUAGUUAAACCUAUCAGUCUCUUACACCAUAGUAUAAAUUAUUUUCCUUGCAUUUGACAGAACACCGUGCUAAGAUCAACUACAGGCUUUGGGAAUUUAAAUAAAGGAAGAGGAAAGAGAUAGAAUGUUUUGGGACAAAAGGGACAAAAGCAUGUGUGGGAAGGUAAGUGCUGAGGACAGCCAGCAGCAAUAGGGGGUCAUCUCCCCUGGGGAGAGCUGAAGGAAUGAACAGAGGGGAGAGAAACUUGGCUAUCCAGACCCUGGAUGGAGCUGCCACCCCAUGCCCCUGAGAGUUAUCCGCGGGCACCCCUUCCAGAACCUCAGGCAUCACCUUGCAUCCCUCGGGGAAUGGAUCCAUUAGAGAAUCGAUCCUGCCACUGCUGUUUCUACCGUUCCCUCACACUCUGUCUGAAAAGGCGCCACCUUCAGCCCAUACUUCGCAGGGCUUUGAUUCCAAAGGUAGGGGA